GCUAUGUAAAACUACAGCGUCACAUGUUAUUGUAGACAGGGGGUAGAAAAGGCAAAUUAGCCGUUGCGUUUGCGUCAGACUAAACCGGACAGGCCGCCUUACCUGUGCAGAAGAGUCCAUCCUGAAGUGGCAGAACGAAAACAUCGCUUCUGGGUUGAUAUUCCUUCUGAAGUGUUUCAUGGCGAUGAGAAUUAAGGAAUAAAGCGCAGCGCCAAAUGAUUCAGUGAAAGGAUGGCACACACCCACAGGACGGCAUCCUCGAUGGUUCCAAUUUCCAGCCCCAUUCCCCAAUUUUCAACCCCAAUGACAGACAACACACGCCGCGAUGGCUGUUUAGCUAAAGAAGGGAAUUUGCAGAGGAAUCGCUCCUCGGAAAAAUUACAUUAACGCGGGCAUCUGUCCUCAGAGGGUCAGCCAUCUUGUCUCACUGAUGGCCGAGGCCCGGAGACUCGGAGGCGGCGGAGAGCGAAAGCGGCAGAGACAGGCUCCCCUGCCACCCUGAUGUGCUGGGAAAACAGUGGAAGGACCAUGCUGAGAGACAGAAAGGGAGCAAAUGAAAAAGAGGGGAAGAAAGAGAGGGAGAGAGCGAGAUUAAGCGCACGGGGGAAGAGAGAGGGCCGAGCGAGCGAUGCCCAUGGGCAAGACUGGCUCUGCCUUGCCUUGGCCCUCCUCCUAGUGCCAGAGACAGGGAUGACGCUGCCACUCUGCAUCAGCCUUAUGUAGUAUUCAUAGCAGCAGGUCCUUCUAACACAAUUUGUGACCUCCACCCCAGCAGAGGAAUAUUGAAGUUUAACAAUGGCCGCCUCGGUAGGGAGCGAGCGCGGCGAGACCCCGGCGAGCGACUUGCCCCGUCUAUUAUUUCUCUUUUUAUAUAUUGUGUAGAAUGUGUCUUUUCUGGGAAUUCCACAAUAAAAUGACUGUUAUUUAUCAUU
Mugil cephalus (flathead mullet) is the source of this 932-nucleotide long non-coding RNA. RefSeq lists it as uncharacterized. NCBI's taxonomy places the organism in Eukaryota, Metazoa, Chordata, Actinopteri, Mugiliformes, Mugilidae. The transcript has 4 exons. The record is from RefSeq and is a predicted model, not a curated record.